This 1009-nucleotide ribosomal RNA is filed under the name uncultured Actinomyces sp. RNAcentral's name for it is "bacterial SSU rRNA". It matches the Rfam family "Bacterial small subunit ribosomal RNA", at positions 280 to 1272 of the family's 1533-position model. Lineage: Bacteria; Bacillati; Actinomycetota; Actinomycetes; Actinomycetales; Actinomycetaceae. The record is from RNAcentral.
UGGUUACAAGCAAGAGAGAAGGAGUGGAACACUGGGACUGAUUACAGGCCAGACUCCUACGGGAGGUAGCAGUGGGGAAUAUUGCACAAUGGGCGAAAGCCUGAUGCAGCGACGCCGCGUGAGGGAUGACGGCCUUCGGGUUGUAAACCUCUUUCAGCAGGGAAGAAGCGCAAGUGACGGUACCUGCAGAAGAAGCACCGGCUAACUACGUGCCAGCAGCCGCGGUAAUACGUAGGGUGCGAGCGUUGUCCGGAAUUAUUGGGCGUAAAGAGCUUGUAGGCGGUUUGUCGCGUCUGCCGUGAAAAUCCGAGGCUCAACCUCGGACUUGCGGUGGGUACGGGCAGACUAGAGUGUGGUAGGGGAGACUGGAAUUCCUGGUGUAGCGGUGAAAUGCGCAGAUAUCAGGAGGAACACCGAUGGCGAAGGCAGGUCUCUGGGCCACUACUGACGCUGAGAAGCGAAAGCAUGGGGAGCGAACAGGAUUAGAUACCCUGGUAGUCCAUGCCGUAAACGUUGGGCGCUAGGUGUGGGACCCAUUCCACGGGUUCCGUGCCGCAGCUAACGCAUUAAGCGCCCCGCCUGGGGAGUACGGCCGCAAGGCUAAAACUCAAAGGAAUUGACGGGGGCCCCGCACAAAGCGGCGGAGCAUGCGGGAUUAAAUUCGAUGGAACGCGAAGAACCCUUACCAAAGGGUUUGACAUACACCGGAAACAUCCAGAGAUGGGGUGCCCCCGCAAGGUCGGUGUACAGGUGGUGCAUGGUUGUCGUCAGCUCGUGUCGUGAGAUGUUGGGGUAAAGCCCCGCAAACGAGCGCAACCCCUCAUUCUAAUGUUGCCCGGGGCGUUAUGGGGGGGAACUCAUAGGAAAACUGCCCGGGGGCCAACUUGGAAAGGAAGGGGGGGAAUGACGUCAAAAUCAAUCAUUGCCCCUUAUGUCUUGGGGUUUCACGCAUGCCUACAAUGGACCGGGUCAAAAGGGCUGGCGAAACCCGCGGAGGGAGGAACGAAAU